AAAGGUAAGCUACUAAGAGCGAAUGGUGGAUGCCUUGACUGGUAAAGGCGAUGAAGGACGUACUAGACUGCGAUAAGCUACGGGGAGCUGUCAAGAAGCUUUGAUCCGUAGAUUUCCGAAUGGGGCAACCCAAUGUAUAGAGAUAUACAUUACCUAUAUAGGAGCGAACGAGGGGAAUUGAAACAUCUUAGUACCCUCAGGAAA
RNAcentral lists this ribosomal RNA (204 nucleotides) under Campylobacter jejuni. RNAcentral describes it as "partial 23S ribosomal RNA". It matches the Rfam family "Bacterial large subunit ribosomal RNA", at positions 1 to 219 of the family's 2925-position model. Lineage: Bacteria; Pseudomonadati; Campylobacterota; Epsilonproteobacteria; Campylobacterales; Campylobacteraceae. The record is from RNAcentral.